GGCACAGUGGCUUAGUGGUUAGCACUGGUGCCUCGCACCUGUAGGUUUGAAGGUUCGAAUCCUGCCUCUGCCC
Ameiurus melas (black bullhead) is the source of this 73-nucleotide non-coding RNA. Lineage: Eukaryota; Metazoa; Chordata; Actinopteri; Siluriformes; Ictaluridae. The record is from the annotation of a GenBank genome assembly.